Molecule: unclassified non-coding RNA, 150 nt
Filed under: uncultured Tubeufiaceae
Lineage: Eukaryota; Fungi; Ascomycota; Dothideomycetes; Tubeufiales; Tubeufiaceae
Description: sequence contains ITS2
Source: RNAcentral
CAAACCUCAAGCUUCUGCUUGGUAUUGGGCUUCGUCCGCUGAGGACGUGCCUGAAACACGUAGGCAGUGGUGUCGAUCUCCCAGCGUAGUCAAAUUCUACCCGCUACGGAGCAUAGGCGUCGCCCGCCGGAUAACCUCAUAUUUUCUAUG